GGAUCUGCUUCAGUGCUCUAUUUUAGAACACUUGCUUAAAUACUGAAUAUACUUCAAAGCCCACUCUAGUUCCCUAAUUUUGCCCUCUUUAAAAAAGCAUUUAAAAAAAAAGCCUAAUAGCUCACAGUAAUAACUGGUUCCUAAUCUUGGCAUUAUCAGGUUACCUUGUUCCAUUCUAAUAUUCCAAUAUAUAAAUCCACUGAUUAUGCCAGUCUUUUUGUGAUUGUUGCGAUAGCCUUGCUCAUUCUUCUUCAUUUCCCUGUAUUUAUAUCAAUCCCACCCUCUCUUACACACUAAUCUCUUCCCUUCUUAACUUCCCAAAGAAUAUAUUACUUACAUUUUUUAACCACUGGUUUAUAUUCUGACACACUUUUAAGUGUUAGAUAUACAGAUUAUCUACUUCACUCUAUAGCAAGAACUGAGAUAUUUAUAUCUGAGAGAGGGAUCUAGCUCUCAAAGCUUAGAAC
This 467-nucleotide long non-coding RNA is filed under the name Bos taurus (domestic cattle). RNAcentral describes it as "long non-coding RNA NONBTAT019556". Lineage: Eukaryota; Metazoa; Chordata; Mammalia; Artiodactyla; Bovidae. The record is from RNAcentral.